UGCUAGGGUUUUGGGGGAGCAAAUCGAAAUCUCCGAAGGCGAGAUGAUGAAGAGGCUACACUACUUCUCCUCCUUCUGCAAAACCGUGUAUUUCAGUCGUUCUCCUCACCCCCACUAUGCUGCCCUCCUCUUUGCCGUCUUACCUUACUCGGACUCCGCCACCGCCGCCGGCGCCGCAUCCGCCACUGGGAAGCACAUGUUCAUGGUCCAAUACCUCGUCGACUCAUGUGGCUUCGACCAGGAGAAGGCCACCGAGGCCUCGAAGCUUCUCAAGGGCAUCCAAUCCCGUCAGCAGCCCGACUCCGUCCUUGCUUUCCUCAAAAGUUACGGCUUCGAUGACGCAUCAGUGAAAAAGCUCCUACGUUAUUCACCCAAAUGUCUUCUUUUGGACGUAGAGAAGACACUUGCGCCAAAGUUCCGAGCUUUCGAAGAUCUGGGUCUCUCCCCAUCCGACGUCGUCCACCUCGUCCGGUCGAAUCCCCGCACCGUUAGAAUCAAACACGAACUCACUGUACCUAAGAUCGAAUUUUGGCAAGGCCUUCUCGGGUCCAAGGAUGCGCUGGUGAAGUUGUUCAAGAGAAACCGAGUGAUUCUUUCGUACAGUAUCGAGAAGAAGAUCCAGCCCAACCUUGAGUUGCUUCGGGAAUGUGGCUUGGACGGCCCAAAGCUUAACACUAUGUUGCAGAACUACCCACAGAUCGUGGCACAGAAUGGUGAUUUCUUGAAGUCCUUAAUCAGUCGCACAGAGGAAUUGGGAGUGCCGCGGACAUCUGGGAUGUUCCAUAUUACUCUGCGUGCACUCUGGAUGGUCAGUCCAGAGAAGUUCAAGAUGCAAAUGGAAUUGUUCCAGAGCUUCGGGUGGUCAGAGGACAAUUUUGUUGCGGCAUUCCAAAAGUGUCCUACCUUCACACAAGGGUCUUUGACGACAUUGCAGAGAAAAAUGGAGUUUUUGAUAAAUGAGGUUGGAUAUGCUUCUUCUUUCAUUGCUAUACGUCCGAUACUAUUGAUAAUGAGCUUGGAGAGAAGGUUAAUUCCAAGACAUCGGAUCUUGGCAACCUUGAAGUCUCGGGGGCACUGUGAAAGUGAUUACAAAGUGACGGCAUAUAUGAUGGCUUCUGAGACCAAAUUUGUAGAGAAGUACAUUAUCUUCUAUAAGGAUAGAUAUCCAGAUCUGAGUGAACUCUACGCAAGCUUGAAACACACAAAUACUUCUGAUUCUGGACUUCAAUGAGGUCAUCAGAGGUCACAUUUCAUAAAUUUCCCCUCCAUCCUUUUCCAUAAUCUUUACAUAAAAAUGUAUAUAUUUCGACGUGGUGGACAUAGACGGCGACCACAGGACCAGACACAUCCAUCACCUGCCAGUGAACCUAAUCCACCCCCUACUCAAGCAGGCCCAUCCCAUGUGUCUUCUCCACCGGCAUCAUAUUCCCUUGCCAGUGUACCUAUGCCACCCCUUCAUCAGCCGGGCCCUUCUCAUGUACCUUCUGCACCGGUUUCAUAUUCGCCGCCACAAGUACCUUACCCAGAACAGUUACCUGUCC
RNA transcript from Zingiber officinale, 1541 nucleotides. It is a transcript of the gene named transcription termination factor MTERF8, chloroplastic-like, with no coding region annotated. The transcript has 3 exons. The record is from RefSeq and is a predicted model, not a curated record. Lineage: Eukaryota; Viridiplantae; Streptophyta; Magnoliopsida; Zingiberales; Zingiberaceae.